Danio rerio (zebrafish) is the source of this 118-nucleotide ribosomal RNA. Lineage: Eukaryota; Metazoa; Chordata; Actinopteri; Cypriniformes; Danionidae. The record is from Ensembl.
AGUCACAGCCAUAUCACCCUGCAGCCCAAGACCGGUUACUCACCGAAGCUAAGCAGAACUGAGUCUGGUCAGAAUCUGGAUGGGGAGACCACAUGGAAAAACUAGGUUGCUGUUAGAA